AAUGGGCGCAAGCCUGAACCAGCCAUCCCGCGUGAAGGAUGACGGCCCUAUGGGUUGUAAACUUCUUUUAUACAGGAAGAAAAAUCCCUACGUGUAGGGACUUGCCGGUACUGUAUGAAUAAGCAUCGGCUAACUCCGUGCCAGCAGCCGCGGUAAUACGGAGGAUGCAAGCGUUAUCCGGAUUCAUUGGGUUUAAAGGGUGCGUAGGCGGCUUUUUAAGUCAGUGGUGAAAUCUUGCCGCUUAACGGUAAAAUUGCCAUUGAUACUGAAGAGCUUGAGUACAAUUGAGGUAAGCGGAAUGUGUAGUGUAGCGGUGAAAUGCUUAGAUAUUACACAGAACACCAAUUGCGAAGGCAGCUUACUAAACUGUCACUGACGCUGAUGCACGAAAGCGUGGGGAGCGAA
Molecule: ribosomal RNA, 405 nt
Filed under: uncultured bacterium
Lineage: Bacteria
Description: bacterial SSU rRNA
Rfam family: Bacterial small subunit ribosomal RNA
Source: RNAcentral